CAGAGUAACUGUUGUCGGCGUGACGGUAUCCAACCAGAAAGCCACGGCUAACUACGUGCCAGCAGCCGCGGUAAUACGUAGGUGGCAAGCGUUAUCCGGAUUUAUUGGGCGUAAAGCGAGCGCAGGCGGUUUUUUAAGUCUGAUGUGAAAGCCCUCGGCUUAACCGAGGAAGUGCAUCGGAAACUGGRAAACUUGAGUGCAGAAGAGGACAGUGGAACUCCAUGUGUAGA
This 230-nucleotide ribosomal RNA is filed under the name Lacticaseibacillus rhamnosus. RNAcentral's name for it is "Lactobacillus rhamnosus partial 16S ribosomal RNA". It matches the Rfam family "Bacterial small subunit ribosomal RNA", at positions 445 to 679 of the family's 1533-position model. The record is from RNAcentral. Lineage: Bacteria; Bacillati; Bacillota; Bacilli; Lactobacillales; Lactobacillaceae.